AGAGCGCGGCGAACGGCUCCGUAACACGUAGUUAACCUACCCUCGGGAUGGGGAUAACCCCGGGAAACUGGGAUUAAUACCCACUAGAUGAUUAUACCUGGAAUGGCUUAUCAUCGAAAGAGUCUGGGAACAUGCUUCCAGCGUCGCCCGAGGAUGGGACCGCGUCCGAUCAGGUUGUUGGUGGGGUAACGGCCUACCAAGCCUAUAACCGGUACGGGCCCUGAGAGGGGGAGCCCGGAGAUGGAAACUGAGAAAAGGUUCCAGGCCCUACGGGGUGCAGCAGGCGCGAAACCUCCACAAUGCGCGAAAGCGUGAUGGGGUUAUCCCGAGUGCCGUCCGAUGAGGAUGGCUUUUCAUCGGUGUAAGGAUCCGAUGGAAUAAAGGGGGGGCAAGACUGGUGUCAGCCGCCGCGGUAAUACCAGCCCCCUGAGUGGUAAGGACGAUUAUUUGGCCUAAAGCGUUCGUAGCCGGCUUAUCAAGUCUUUUGUUAAAUCCAACGAUUCAAUCGUUGGGCCGCAAGAGAUACUGUUAUGCUAGAGGACGGGAGAGGUCGACGGUAGUCCAGGGGUAGGGGUGAAAUCCUAUAAUCCUUGGAGGACCACCAGUGGCGAAGGCGGUCGACUAGAACGUGCCUGACGGUGAGGGACGAAAGCUGGGGGAGCGAACCGGAUUAGAUACCCGGGUAGUCCCAGCCGUAAACGAUGCGGGCUAGGUGUUGGGGCAGCCACGAGCUGCUCCAGUGCCGCAGAGAAGUUGUUAAGCCCGCCGCCUGGGGAGUACGGCCGCAAGGCUGAAACUUAA
This 801-nucleotide ribosomal RNA is filed under the name uncultured archaeon. Its description in RNAcentral is "bacterial SSU rRNA". It matches the Rfam family "Archaeal small subunit ribosomal RNA", at positions 73 to 859 of the family's 1478-position model. The record is from RNAcentral.